UACGUAGGGGGCAAGCGUUGUCCGGAUUUAUUGGGCGUAAAGAGCGUGUAGGCGGUCAGGUAGGUCCGUUGUGAAAACUCGAGGCUCAACCUCGAGAUGUCGGCGGAAACCGUCUGGCUAGAGUCCGGAAGAGGAGAGUGGAAUUCCUGGUGUAGCGGUGAAAUGCGCAGAUAUCAGGAAGAACACCUAUGGCGAAGGCAGCUCUCUGGGACGGUACUGACGCUGAGACGCGAAAGCGUGGGGAGCGAACAGG
RNAcentral lists this ribosomal RNA (253 nucleotides) under uncultured bacterium. RNAcentral describes it as "partial 16S ribosomal RNA". It matches the Rfam family "Bacterial small subunit ribosomal RNA", at positions 524 to 776 of the family's 1533-position model. The record is from RNAcentral.